Molecule: ribosomal RNA, 719 nt
Filed under: Pantoea sp.
Lineage: Bacteria; Pseudomonadati; Pseudomonadota; Gammaproteobacteria; Enterobacterales; Erwiniaceae
Description: bacterial SSU rRNA
Rfam family: Bacterial small subunit ribosomal RNA
Source: RNAcentral
UAACAGGAUUUAGAUACCCUGGUAGUNCACGCCGUAAACGAUGUCGACUUGGAGGUUGUUCCCUUGAGGAGUGGCUUCCGGAGCUAACGCGUUAAGUCGACCGCCUGGGGAGUACGGCCGCAAGGUUAAAACUCAAAUGAAUUGACGGGGGCCCGCACAAGCGGUGGAGCAUGUGGUUUAAUUCGAUGCAACGCGAAGAACCUUACCUACUCUUGACAUCCAGGGAAUUUAGCAGAGAUGCUUUGGUGCCUUCGGGAACUGUGAGACAGGUGCUGCAUGGCUGUCGUCAGCUCGUGUUGUGAAAUGUUGGGUUAAGUCCCGCAACGAGCGCAACCCUUAUCCUUUGUUGCCAGCGAUUCGGUCGGGAACUCAAAGGAGACUGCCGGUGAUAAACCGGAGGAAGGUGGGGAUGACGUCAAGUCAUCAUGGCCCUUACGAGUAGGGCUACACACGUGCUACAAUGGCGCAUACAAAGAGAAGCGACCUCGCGAGAGCAAGCGGACCUCAUAAAGUGCGUCGUAGUCCGGAUCGGAGUCUGCAACUCGACUCCGUGAAGUCGGAAUCGCUAGUAAUCGUGGAUCAGAAUGCCACGGUGAAUACGUUCCCGGGCCUUGUACACACCGCCCGUCACACCAUGGGAGUGGGUUGCAAAAGAAGUAGGUAGCUUAACCUUCGGGAGGGCGCUUACCACUUUGUGAUUCAUGACUGGGGUGAAGUCG